UUCUUCUUCUUCUUAUCCCUUCCCACCGCUCCCCCAUUCCAUGGUGGCCGCCCCUCACUUCCAUUCCUUUCGUCCCCGCCGCCGGCGCGAGGCCUCACCUGCUCUCCCCACUGCUUCCUCUCCCCGGCACGCAGUCGCACGCCGCAUCCUCUCCCGCCACAUCGUCGCCCAGCGCAUCCUCUCCCCCUCCCCACGGCCUUGCGCCGCCGCCUCCUCUCCCCACCAUAACCUCGCCUUGCCGCUAACACCGUCGGCCUUCCCUAGAUCGACUCUGCCGUCGCCGUACACAUGUCCCAGCGCAGAUCCAGAUGCGAGCUAGAGGAGCGUGCUGGACACGAUGCGGGAGCAGGCAUCUCGGAGCGGCCCGAGGUUCAGUGCGUCUCGUGCCCCUGUGAUAGUCGGCCUCGUGCUUGGCUCCCACAUUCAAUCCGGGAAGGCGCUCGCAGCUCGCUUACGUGCUCGACUACUCCAGUUACUUGAUGGAUUCAGGCUACUAUAAGAAAUGGCAACUUGGGGCAUGACUUGCAAGAAAGGGAUUCUAUGACAGAAUGACAUUGCUUCAUGGUUUCGGGGUAUGUAGAGAAUGUGAUGUUUAGAAAAAUCUGGGCAACAGCAGCAUUUCCAAGGUGACAAAUAUGUUCUUAUUUUGGCUUGAGACAUUGAAGAGGGGAUGUCUGGCCAUGAAGCCACCUUAUUGUGAUCGCCAUUGUAUAAUGUCUUUGUUGGGGUAUCUGCUUCUUUCAUGCUUGGAAACAUUGAUGAGGGGAUGUCUGUCCACAAAAUAUGUAAAUACCUCAGGAGGAGCACGGGCAGACGAGUUCCAGCGAAGACAGCGGAGGCGAGAUUGGACGCUUGCGGCACGGCAAUGUCGAGCCUAAGUCAAGCCAGACUGAAAGUAGAUGAGGUACCAGUGUUCAUAGACAUGUUGAAGGAUGUCGUAUAUGGAAACAGUUAACAAAAAUACCUGAUGUAAAGCUGACUUGUCAAAGAGCUUAAUUGAAACGAAGGUGACAACCUGUGAAACUGGCAGGUUAAUUGUAAAGCUGAGCUUAAUUGAACCGAAGGUGACAACGCCGUGAAACUGACAAGUUAAUUGAACCAAAACCUGGGAUUGUGUCACAUGAAAAAUCACUGGAGAUAGGAUGUAUUUGUAGCACCAACGAUGCCCGCCUCUAAGUAGGUUUCGGACUCCUGUAGGAAUCUAAAUAGGAGUAGGAAUAGGAAUAGGAAUAGGACCAGGAUUUGGACUCAUGUAAGGAAAGCCAGCACCAACGAUGCCCGCCUCUAAGUAGGUUUCGGACUCCUGUAGGAAUCUAAAUAGGAGUAGGAAUAGGAAUAGGAAUAGGACCAGGAUUUGGACUCAUGUAAGGAAAGCCAGCCAGCGGCGCUGCCUCCGUACGCAGUGGGUCCCUCCAUCGAUACGGGCAGGCAGCUUCGUUUGUUUGGCAAUUUAAAAAUAGAGAUAUGGGCCGGCCGGCCGGCUCUUGUUA
This is a long non-coding RNA of Triticum dicoccoides, 1490 nucleotides long. RefSeq lists it as uncharacterized. The transcript has 6 exons. NCBI's taxonomy places the organism in Eukaryota, Viridiplantae, Streptophyta, Magnoliopsida, Poales, Poaceae. The record is from RefSeq and is a predicted model, not a curated record.